Molecule: long non-coding RNA, 5292 nt
Filed under: Triticum aestivum (bread wheat)
Lineage: Eukaryota; Viridiplantae; Streptophyta; Magnoliopsida; Poales; Poaceae
Description: long non-coding RNA (TAES_LNC007564)
Source: RNAcentral
CCGCACUUGCUCACCAGACAAGCCCUGUUCUUUCCCUACAUCAACGUCAGCCAGGAGCGAGCGGUAUGUCUCCGGCAGAAAUCAUCUCUCUCUCCUUCAAAAUUUGUUGACUAAAUAUUCUGAUUUGCAAUUUUCCCCUUCAGAAUUUCGGGUGAACUUUUUCCCUUUAGGUUUCAGCCUAUUUAGAUCUAGAGGUAUGAUGUAGAGCAAAUGCUUCUAGGAUUCAUCUCCCUGCUGGGUGAACUUUUUCCCUUUAGGUUUCAGUCUAUCUAGAUCUAGAGGUAUGAUACAUGAGCUGUUGGUCCUGCUAGCUUCAGCUUUUCAGAAAGAUAUAAACUGAUAAAUCAACAGAAGCUUGAGUAGAUAAUUUGGAUUUCAUAAUCUGCCAUGGCCGAAAAUCAGCACGGUGGCCCAUUCAAUUCUUUGCCACGGCAAUGAAGUUACACAAUCUGUAAAUAACUUUGUGCACUUUAUAUCAGCAGUAUUUUUUACAUGAGCUGUGAUUCCAACUACAGUUUCAGCCUUCAUCCAGCAAAGCUGAUGAAUUAAUAGCUCGAGCUCUAGGACAUCUAUUCCUCUGUUCUGGGGUGGUCCAAAGGACAUGUAUUCCUCUAUUUUAAAAUUUUAUAACUAAAUCAACCCUACACCAAGAGACAAGAUGAGUUUAUAGUAAGUAAAUUAUGAGAGGAUCAUGCCUAUAAAUUUCCUUGCAUCCAACUACCCACGAUCAUUACCCUUGUACAAACAUUUUGUGCAAACAGGUCUGUAAAAAAUGUGUACUAUGGAUUUGUAGACCUCUUUAAUGUGGAAUUAUCAGUGAAAUAUUAUCAAAUGGUCAAUGUUCCUUUGUUAGAGCAAAAGAAAAAUCUUUUGAUGAACUGUGUUCACUAUAGUGUGAAGCAGUAUAAUUAUAAUUCUGAACAUAUUUUAGUUUGCUAUACUGUACAUUUUAAUUUGAUGGCCGGGGUAAACCUUUGAUUGAGUUGGUUCUUUUUCUGCAGUGCAGAUGGAUAGACGUUGGAUUCAUGGUACAUUGUUUUCCUGUGAGUACAUCCAAGGUGUCAAAGAAUUUAUGAAAUUCAUUCAAGAGAAAUUCAGUGAGGAUGAUAAAAUAAUCUACCCAUGUAGAAAAUGCCUUAACCAUAACUACCAGCAUCAGACCGUUGCGAACACGCACAUACUGACGUAUGGCAUGGAAAGUACAUAUACUCGCUGGAUAUAUCAUGGAGAAGACUUUGAUGUAGAUGUUAUUGAACAUCCUGUUGAUGUGCAUGACACUGAGGAUGGUGACAAUGGCGCUGACCGGUUUGAAGAGAUGUUGUAAGACCUACGCACUGCAGUAGAACAAGCUCAGAGUGAAACUGAAAAUCAAGAUGCUAACAAUGGUGGAAACCCUUCUGAGAAUGAGUCUUUUUUGAAGAAUGUGAUGAAGGAGGCAAAACGACAGAUUUAUCAUGGUUGUACCAAGUUUUCAAGGUUCUCCUUUGUGGUAAAGCUUCUUCACUUGAAGUCAUACCAUAGGAUCCCGAAUAGUGCAUUUACUGAAAUUUUAAAGCUAUUAGCCGAAGCAUUCCCUGAACCCAAUACACUCCCAAAAUCGUAUAAGGAAGCAAAGAAUCUUCUAAAGGAAUUAGGCCUUGGGUAUGAGUCUAUGCAUGUGUGCUUGAAUAAUUGCAUUCUGUUCAGAAAGCAAUAUGCCAAUCAUGACAACUGCCCAGUUUGGUGACUAUCAAGGUGGAAAGACCCUGCUAGAAAGAAGAUUCCACAGAAAGUGUUGAGGCAUUUUCCGUUGGUGCCUAGGCUAAAGAGGAUGUUUCUUUCCAAAAAAGGUGCAGAAGAAGCACAAUGGCAUGAGCUAAAGAGGCAACCCAAUGAGAAGGAACUGAGUCAUCCAAAAGAUGGUGAUGCAUGGAAAGAUUUUGAUGAAAAAUUUCCAGAAUUUGCAAAAGAUGCUAGAAACUUUAGGCUUGGCAUUGCCACUGAUGGGUUCAAUCCUUUUGGAAAUUUUAACACAACCUAUAGUAUGUGGCCCGUAUUUGUUAUACCAUACAACCUUCCACCUUGGGCAUGCAUGGAUCAGUCAAAUUUUAUGAUGGCUUUGCUGAUUCCUGGUCCCAAAUCACAUGGCAAGCACUUCGAUGUCUUUCUGCAACCACUUGUAGAAGAAUUACUUGAGCUCUGGGAGGGUGUGCGUACAUAUGAUGCUCUUAGUGGAAAAAUGUUUGAUCUUCAUGCUGCAGUUCUAUGGUGCAUUCAUGAUUACCCAGCUCCGAGCACUCUUUCAGGGCGUACCACAAGAGGCUAUUUGCAUGUAUUCAUUGUGACAAACACCCUGUUUCUUACAGCCUAAGGAGUAAAAUUGGGUAUAUUGGUCACUACCGUUUCCUUCCAAGGGGUCAUCGUUUACGAAGAAACAAUGAAUUUGUUGGUCUUCAUGAAAGCAAUGAUGAGCAGGUAAAUUCUCUGAGAAAGAGUUGCAAGCAGAAUUGGAGAAGGUUAGACCUGGGAGACACCAAGAAAGUAGGAAAAGGAAGCGUUCUGACUUGGGCAACAAGAAGUAUCAUGUGCCAAUUUGGGGCCGGAGGGUUUGUUUGUGGGAUUUGAAGUAUUGGGCAAAGUUGAAGCUGAGACACAAUCUUGAUGUCAUGCACAUUGAGAAAAACAUUUGUGAAAACCUCAGUGGGACAAUUCUAAAUCUGGAGGGUAAGACAAAGGACACACUUAAUGCUAGGAUUGAUCCAAAAGAUUUGAAUAUUAAAGAAGAGUUGCAAUUGAGGAAGGAGGGAGACUCAUAUGUGAUGCCUCGGGCCCGAUAUACCUUGUCCAAAGAACAAGUGGUUGCAUUUUGUCAAUUUUUACGAGAGUUAAUGUUUCCAGAUGCUUCCAACAUCUCAAGAUGCACAAGUGCUGAUGGAACCAAGGUACAAGGCCUGAAAACACAUGAUUGUCACAUUCUUUUGCAGAGAAUCUUACCUGCCGGCAUGAGAGAAUUUUUGGACAGUGAUAUAUAUGAAGCAAUAGCUGAGUUAGGCAAGUUUUUCAGAGAACUGUGCAGCAAAACUCUUAAUAGGGAUGUCUUGGCUGAAAUGAAGAAGGAAAUCCCUGUAAUUUUGUGCAAGCUUGAGAAAAUUUUCCCGCCUGCAUUCUUUGAUGUGAUGGUGCACCUUGUCGUACACUUACCAGAAGAGGCAUUGCUUCGAGGUCCCGUACAACAUGGGUGGAUGUACCCGGUUGAAAGAAGGCUAUAUACUUUAAAGCGCUAUGUGAGGAAUAGGGCGCGACCAAAAGGUUCUAUUGCUGAGGCAUAUAUUGCAGAUGAAUGCCUGACAUUUUGCUCCAAGUACAUGGAUGAUGUUGAAACAAUAUUUAAUCGGAAACCAAGAAAUGUAGGUUUUUCAAAUGAAGAAGCCUAUGGUGUUGACGUUUUUGGGCAUGGAGUUAAUUUUACUUCAGGAUAUGAAUAUGAAUAUGUGCAUGAGCAAAAAGAAUUUGACCAGAUGGUGUGGUAUGUGUUGAACAAUUGUGAUCAAGCUAAGAAAUAUAUCAAGUACGUUGUCACUUCUGAAACUUGCAUUGUGUUGUACAUAUGUCACGCGACUAAUUUGUUUUAUUUUACAGUAUGUUCAGAGAUGAGUUAAAGAGGAAACUGUUGCCGGACAGUGAUAAAGAGCUUCAACAAAAAUUUCAGACAUGGUUCAGGAACUAUGUUAGUUUUCAUUAACAUCUAGUUUUAAUUUUUGGUUGUCAAAUUUCAGUGCAGAUUCUAAUGUAUGUGUUUGUGUGUUGUCGCAGAUGAUGAGGCUGCGAGAUGAGGAUGGUGAAGAGGUAGAUGAAGAUCUCUUUGCCUUGGCAUGUGGUCCUGAUCGGAGAGUCCGGAAAUUCUCAUCGUGCAUAGUGAAUGGGAUUAGAUUUAACACUGUUGCCUGUGAUAGCAACAAGAGGACACAGAACAGUGGAGUCAUGACCGAAGGCGAACAUAACCAUAAGGUCAUAGAUUUUUAUGGAACCUUGAAAGAGAUCAUUCAGUUAGAUUAUAACUUGGAUGAUAGGUUAGUUGUUUUGUUUAAAUGUGACUGGUUUAAACUUGAUGGAAAGAAGACUGAACUUAAAAAUGAUGGUUUUUUCAAAAGCAUACAUGUUGGAAGUUGGUGGCACAAGGACGAUUCUUUGAUUUUGGCUACUCAGGCUAGUAAGGUCUUUUAUUUGCCAGACACGAAGUAUGGGAAAAAUUGGCAAGUUGUCCAAACAUUCGACCAUAGGCAUCUGUUCAAUAUUAGUGAAACUGAGGGUGUACCUUUUAGUGCUCCUGCAUAUCAAGCGGACGAGUGUUGUGAAGAGGAGGGUAGGAGAACAUCAGUUUCUGACCUUACAUCCGAGAAGCCUUUGCAUAGAGAUGAUGAGCAAGGCAUUACUUUUGAAGCUGAUGUUGUUGCCCGUUUGAUGAAAGAUAAAACCACAAAAGUGUAUGAAGGUGGCGACGAAGAUGAAGAAGAUGAUAUAGGUUUGGAGUAUUGCAGUGAAAACGAAGGAGGUGCCACAAUGGAUGUCGACAGCGAUGACGAGUAGAUGUUUUAAUGUAGAAGGUACUAUCUCCAUUCUUCUUCCAGUGUACUAUAUUCUUUGCAAAACCUGUAUGAUGUGGAUGACAAUAUUUUUUUCUCUUGGUCUCUUUCGUGUUGCAUAAUUUUUGUCUUUGCUAUUGCAAUAUUUUCUUGCUGUUUACACACUACAUGAUAAUUUUUAUCUUUGCUACUGCAAUAUCUUGUUGCUGUUUACACACUACAUGCUUGUUCAGUAUAGUACAGGAUAGAGUGAGCUGUUUUUCUUCUCACUGAUACAUAUGAUUUGUUCAGCAUAGUACAUGGGAGUCUGAGAUGUUUAUGCACUACAUGUUUGUUCAGUUCAGUACAACGUCUCUUUUGAAUAUCUACAGUUUGAAUGGACUUCUAAUUUUGAAAUAUUUGACAGGCAUUGCUGACAAGGCUGAGAAGGAGAUGCUGAAAAAACGUUGUGCUGCAAGCUUAAGUUGGUCUGUAUAGUGCUUUUUGGCUCUGUAAUACUGUCAUCUAAUGGCAGUAUCUGGAGUUUUAUUUUGUUUGCGUUGAUAGGCCAAUGACUGCUGAUCCCUGCUGUGAUCCGUAACCGCGUCAGUGUGUUAACGAAAUCGUUGUGGUUGUAAUCCUUCUUGUAUGCCUAACAAUAUAUUAUCUCUGUACCAGAUGUUGUGAGGAUGGCAUAUGUGUGUUGUCAAUUGGCUAUUCAAGUUCACAAAUUAUUCCUGAAAUUCAUAUG